CCGCUUUAGUCCGCUCAGCCAUCUCUCC
RNAcentral lists this transfer RNA (28 nucleotides) under Juniperus osteosperma. RNAcentral describes it as "partial tRNA-Ser". RNAcentral also lists the same sequence under 1 other name. The record is from RNAcentral. Lineage: Eukaryota; Viridiplantae; Streptophyta; Pinopsida; Cupressales; Cupressaceae.